GACGAACGCUGGCGGCGUGCCUAAUACAUGCAAGUAGAACGCUGAAGGAAGGAGCUUGCUCUUUCCGGAUGAGUUGCGAACGGGUGAGUAACGCGUAGGUAACCUGCCUGGUAGCGGGGGAUAACUAUUGGAAACGAUAGCUAAUACCGCAUAACAGUAGAUAUCGCAUGAUAUGUGCUUGAAAGAUGCAAUUGCAUCACUACCAGAUGGACCUGCGUUGUAUUAGCUAGUUGGUGAGGUAACGGCUCACCAAGGCAACGAUACAUAGCCGACCUGAGAGGGUGAUCGGCCACACUGGGACUGAGACACGGCCCAGACUCCUACGGGAGGCAGCAGUAGGGAAUCUUCGGCAAUGGACGGAAGUCUGACCGAGCAACGCCGCGUGAGUGAAGAAGGUUUUCGGAUCGUAAAGCUCUGUUGUAAGAGAAGAACGAGUGUGAGAGUGGAAAGUUCACACUG
RNAcentral lists this ribosomal RNA (459 nucleotides) under Streptococcus infantis. RNAcentral describes it as "bacterial SSU rRNA". It matches the Rfam family "Bacterial small subunit ribosomal RNA", at positions 28 to 471 of the family's 1533-position model. Lineage: Bacteria; Bacillati; Bacillota; Bacilli; Lactobacillales; Streptococcaceae. The record is from RNAcentral.